UUGAAGAGUUUGAUCAUGGCUCAGAUUGAACGCUGGCGGCAGGCCUAACACAUGCAAGUCGAACGGUAACAGGAAUCAGCUUGCUGAUUCGCUGACGAGUGGCGGACGGGUGAGUAAUGUCUGGGAAACUGCCUGAUGGAGGGGGAUAACUACUGGAAACGGUAGCUAAUACCGCAUAAUGUCGCAAGACCAAAGAGGGGGACCUUCGGGCCUCUUGCCAUCGGAUGUGCCCAGAUGGGAUUAGCUUGUAGGUGGGGUAACGGCUCACCUAGGCGACGAUCCCUAGCUGGUCUGAGAGGAUGACCAGCCACACUGGAACUGAGACACGGUCCAGACUCCUACGGGAGGCAGCAGUGGGGAAUAUUGCACAAUGGGCGCAAGCCUGAUGCAGCCAUGCCGCGUGUAUGAAGAAGGCCUUCGGGUUGUAAAGUACUUUCAGCGGGGAGGAAGGGAGUAAAGUUAAUACCUUUGCUCAUUGACGUUACCCGCAGAAGAAGCACCGGCUAACUCCGUGCCAGCAGCCGCGGUAAUACGGAGGGUGCAAGCGUUAAUCGGAAUUACUGGGCGUAAAGCGCACGCAGGCGGUUUGUUAAGUCAGAUGUGAAAUCCCCGGGCUCAACCUGGGAACUGCAUCUGAUACUGGCAAGCUUGAGUCUCGUAGAGGGGGGUAGAAUUCCAGGUGUAGCGGUGAAAUGCGUAGAGAUCUGGAGGAAUACCGGUGGCGAAGGCGGCCCCCUGGACGAAGACUGACGCUCAGGUGCGAAAGCGUGGGGAGCAAACAGGAUUAGAUACCCUGGUAGUCCACGCCGUAAACGAUGUCGACUUGGAGGUUGUGCCCUUGAGGCGUGGCUUCCGGAGCUAACGCGUUAAGUCGACCGCCUGGGGAGUACGGCCGCAAGGUUAAAACUCAAAUGAAUUGACGGGGGCCCGCACAAGCGGUGGAGCAUGUGGUUUAAUUCGAUGCAACGCGAAGAACCUUACCUGGUCUUGACAUCCACGGAAGUUUUCAGAGAUGAGAAUGUGCCUUCGGGAACCGUGAGACAGGUGCUGCAUGGCUGUCGUCAGCUCGUGUUGUGAAAUGUUGGGUUAAGUCCCGCAACGAGCGCAACCCUUAUCCUUUGUUGCCAGCGGUCCGGCCGGGAACUCAAAGGAGACUGCCAGUGAUAAACUGGAGGAAGGUGGGGAUGACGUCAAGUCAUCAUGGCCCUUACGACCAGGGCUACACACGUGCUACAAUGGCGCAUACAAAGAGAAGCGACCUCGCGAGAGCAAGCGGACCUCAUAAAGUGCGUCGUAGUCCGGAUUGGAGUCUGCAACUCGACUCCAUGAAGUCGGAAUCGCUAGUAAUCGUGGAUCAGAAUGCCACGGUGAAUACGUUCCCGGGCCUUGUACACACCGCCCGUCACACCAUGGGAGUGGGUUGCAAAAGAAGUAGGUAGCUUAACCUUCGGGAGGGCGCUUACCACUUUGUGAUUCAUGACUGGGGUGAAGUCGUAACAAGGUAACCGUAGGGGAACCUGCGGUUGGAUCACCUCCUU
RNAcentral lists this ribosomal RNA (1538 nucleotides) under Escherichia fergusonii. RNAcentral's name for it is "bacterial SSU rRNA". It matches the Rfam family "Bacterial small subunit ribosomal RNA". The record is from RNAcentral. Lineage: Bacteria; Pseudomonadati; Pseudomonadota; Gammaproteobacteria; Enterobacterales; Enterobacteriaceae.